RNAcentral lists this ribosomal RNA (492 nucleotides) under uncultured bacterium. RNAcentral describes it as "partial 16S ribosomal RNA". It matches the Rfam family "Bacterial small subunit ribosomal RNA", at positions 29 to 507 of the family's 1533-position model. The record is from RNAcentral.
AGUGAACGCUGGCGGUAGGCCUAACACAUGCAAGUCGAACGGCAGCACAGUAAGAGCUUGCUCUUACGGGUGGCGAGUGGCGGACGGGUGAGGAAUACAUCGGAAUCUACUUUUUCGUGGGGGAUAACGUAGGGAAACUUACGCUAAUACCGCAUACGACCUACGGGUGAAAGCAGGGGAUCUUCGGACCUUGCGCGAUUGAAUGAGCCGAUGUCGGAUUAGCUAGUUGGCGGGGUGAAGGCCCACCAAGGCGACGAUCCGUAGCUGGUCUGAGAGGAUGAUCAGCCACACUGGAACUGAGACACGGUCCAGACUCCUACGGGAGGCAGCAGUGGGGAAUAUUGGACAAUGGGCGCAAGCCUGAUCCAGCCAUACUGCGUGGGUGAAGAAGGCCUUCGGGUUGUAAAGCCCUUUUGUUGGGAAAGAAAAGCAGCAGGUUAAUACCCCGCUGUUCUGACGGUACCCAAAGAAUAAGCACCGGCUAAUUUCGUG